RNAcentral lists this ribosomal RNA (490 nucleotides) under uncultured bacterium. RNAcentral's name for it is "partial 16S ribosomal RNA". It matches the Rfam family "Bacterial small subunit ribosomal RNA", at positions 30 to 507 of the family's 1533-position model. The record is from RNAcentral.
AUUGAACGCUGGCGGCAGGCCUAACACAUGCAAGUCGAACGGUAACAGGAAACAGCUUGCUGUUUCGCUGACGAGUGGCGGACGGGUGAGUAAUGUCUGGGAAACUGCCUGAUGGAGGGGGAUAACUACUGGAAACGGUAGCUAAUACCGCAUAACGUCGCAAGACCAAAGAGGGGGACCCUCGGGCCUCUUGCCAUCGGAUGUGCCCAGAUGGGAUUAGCUUGUUGGUGGGGUAACGGCUCACCAAGGCGACGAUCCCUAGCUGGUCUGAGAGGAUGACCAGCCACACUGGAACUGAGACACGGUCCAGACUCCUACGGGAGGCAGCAUUGGGGAAUAUUGCACAAUGGGCGCAAGCCUGAUGCAGCCAUGCCGCGUGUAUGAAGAAGGCCUUCGGGUUGUAAAGUACUUUCAGCGGGGAGGAAGGGAGUAAAGUUAAUACCUUUGCUCAUUGACGUUACCCGCAGAAGAAGCACCGGCUAACUCCGUG